This 164-nucleotide ribosomal RNA is filed under the name uncultured bacterium. RNAcentral describes it as "partial 16S ribosomal RNA". It matches the Rfam family "Bacterial small subunit ribosomal RNA", at positions 355 to 511 of the family's 1533-position model. The record is from RNAcentral.
UAGGGAAUCUUCCACAAUGGGCGAAAGACCUGAUGGAGCAACGCCGCGUGUGUGAUGAAGGGUUUCGGCUCGUAAACACUGUUGUAAGAGAAGAAUGACAUUGAGAGUAACUGUUCAAUGUGUGACGGUAUCUUACCAGAAAGGAACGGCUAAAUACGUGCCAG